AUUGAACGCUGGCGGCAUGCCUUACACAUGCAAGUCGAACGGAUUCAAGAGGCUUGCUUCUUGAGUUAGUGGCGAACGGGUGAGUAAAGCAUCGGAACGUACCCAGUUGUGGGGGAUAACGUAGCGAAAGUUACGCUAAUACCGCAUACGCACUGAGGUGGAAAGCGGGGGAACGAAAGGCCUCGCGCAAUUCGAGCGGCAGAUGUCGGAUUAGCUAGUUGGUGAGGUAAAGGAUCACCAAGGCGACGAUCCGUAGCUGGUCUGAGAGGACGACCAGCCACAAUGGAACUGAGACACGGUCCAGACUCCUACGGGAGGCAGCAGUGGGGAAUUUUGGACAAUGGGCGAAAGCCUGAUCCAGCCAUGCCGCGUGAAUGAAGAAGGCCUUCGGGUUGUAAAGCUCUUUCAGACGGAAAGAAAUCUUUCGGGUGAAUAUCCCGGAAGGAUGACGGUACCGUAAGAAGAAGCACCGGCUAACUACGUGCCAGCCGCCGCCGUAA
This 500-nucleotide ribosomal RNA is filed under the name uncultured bacterium. RNAcentral describes it as "partial 16S ribosomal RNA". It matches the Rfam family "Bacterial small subunit ribosomal RNA", at positions 30 to 523 of the family's 1533-position model. The record is from RNAcentral.